This 390-nucleotide ribosomal RNA is filed under the name uncultured bacterium. RNAcentral describes it as "bacterial SSU rRNA". It matches the Rfam family "Bacterial small subunit ribosomal RNA", at positions 28 to 413 of the family's 1533-position model. The record is from RNAcentral.
GACGAACGCUGGCGGCGUGCCUAACACAUGCAAGUCAACUUGAGGGAAGGAGCAAUCUGACCUGAUGGUGGCGCAAAGGGUGCGUAACGCGUAAGUAACUUGCCCAAGGUAAGGAAUAACGUCGAGAAAUCGGCGCUAAUACCUCAUAAUGCAGCGGAUCCGCAUGGGAUAAUGUUUGUUAAAGGGUUUACCGCCUUGGGAUAGGCUUGCGUCUGAUUAGCUAGUUGGUGUGGUAAUGGCACACCAAGGCUACGAUCAGUAACUGGUCUGAGAGGAUGAUCAGUCACACUGGAACUGAGACACGGUCCAGACUCCUACGGGAGGCAGCAGUGAGGAAUAUUGGGCAAUGCACGAAAGUGUGACCCAGCAACGCCGACGUGGAGGAUGAAA